RNAcentral lists this ribosomal RNA (613 nucleotides) under fungal endophyte sp. ZY-2009. RNAcentral's name for it is "eukaryotic LSU rRNA". The stretch from base 166 to 319 matches the Rfam family "5.8S ribosomal RNA". Lineage: Eukaryota; Fungi. The record is from RNAcentral.
UGGUUGUCGCUGGCCCUUUCGGGGGCAUGUGCACGCCUUCUCUUUCAUCCACACACACCUGUGCACUUGUGAGACGGAGGGACUUUAAUUAGUCUUCCGUCUACUUAAUUACACAAACUCAUUUAAUUAAAUUGAAUGUAAUUGAUGUAACGCAUCAUUAGAACUAAGUUUCAACAACGGAUCUCUUGGCUCUCGCAUCGAUGAAGAACGCAGCGAAAUGCGAUAAGUAAUGUGAAUUGCAGAAUUCAGUGAAUCAUCGAAUCUUUGAACGCACCUUGCGCUCCUUGGUAUUCCUUGGAGCAUGCCUGUUUGAGUAUCAUGAAAUUCUCAAAGUAAAUCUUUUGUUAAUUCAACUGGUUUGCUUUGGACUUGGAGGUCUUUGCAGAUUUCACCUCUGCUCCUCUUAAAUUUAUUAGCUGGAUCUCAGUAUAUGCUUGGUUCCACUCGGCGUGAUAAGUAUCACUCGCUGAGGACACUGUAAAAAGUGGCCAGGAAAUGCAGAUGAACCGCUUCUAACAGUCUAUUAAGUUAGACAAUUAAUUUAAGAUCUGAUCUCAAAUCAGGUAGGACUACCCGCUGAACUUAAGCAUAUCAAUAGCCGGGGAGAAAGGGA